AUCACUUCUUCAUCUUAGCCUAAAGUCUGCCAUCUAGUCCUCACUGAACUCAACAGACCACUGAUUCCAACUAAAUCUGACACUAAACGGGCCCUCAAAAUUUCAUGAGGAAUCAAGUGAGUUGUUUCUCCUUAUCACUGAAAGAGAGUGAAACUCUCCAUGCCAAUAUUCCUCAAGCUUCCUGGGAAAUUUGAGGCAUACACUACACCACUUAUUAGGUCUGCUACACCUCAGCUCUUGUUAGCCAAGUGUAGGAGAAGACGGGACCUGGAGAGUAUCACUUCCUCUCAAAGAGCCAAUGCUAGAGACUUUCAUUCCUCAAGCAAGUGUCAUCAGUCAAGUUUGGAGGUUUGGAGGACGGUCCAAUGCUUGGGCAGAAAGCACAGCUGUAGCUACAAGGGUCGCUUCCAGAAUGAAAUGCAAUUCUGGCCAGUCACAUAGGAUAUAUGCACGUAAUAGGAUGUAUGCACGUUUGGACGGAUGGGUGACAAGCUGUCUAUCUAUAUGUGUGUGUGCAAAUAUGUGUGUGUGUAUAUAU
This is a long non-coding RNA of Bos taurus (domestic cattle), 538 nucleotides long. NCBI's taxonomy places the organism in Eukaryota, Metazoa, Chordata, Mammalia, Artiodactyla, Bovidae. The record is from Ensembl.